RNAcentral lists this non-coding RNA (21 nucleotides) under Caenorhabditis elegans. The record is from RNAcentral. Lineage: Eukaryota; Metazoa; Nematoda; Chromadorea; Rhabditida; Rhabditidae.
UCCUGCUGUCAUUGUGUUGUC